UACGGAGGGGGCUAGCGUUGUUCGGAAUUACUGGGCGUAAAGCGCGCGCAGGCGGUCCUUUAAGUCUGAUGUGAAAGCCCACGGCUCAACCGUGGAGGGUCAUUGGAAACUGGGGGACUUGAGUACAGAAGAGAAGAGUGGAAUUCCACGUGUAGCGGUGAAAUGCGUAGAGAUGUGGAGGAACACCAGUGGCGAAGGCGGCCUGCUGGGCUGUUGCUGACGCUGAGGCGCGACAGCGUGGGGAGCAAACAGG
This 253-nucleotide ribosomal RNA is filed under the name uncultured bacterium. RNAcentral's name for it is "partial 16S ribosomal RNA". It matches the Rfam family "Bacterial small subunit ribosomal RNA", at positions 524 to 776 of the family's 1533-position model. The record is from RNAcentral.